AAGUCGUAACAAGGUAUCCGUAGGUGAACCUGCGGAUGGAUCAUUAAAGCAGUGUGGCGCGCCUCUUGAGGCCGCCGCCUACCCACUCUGUGCAACGUACGGUACCCUGCGGGGUUUACCUCAACCCUUGGGUUGGACGGUAGAUCCCGCGAAGGGCAGUCUCCUCACGGAGGCCGUCCGACCGACACGUCUGACUAAAGUCUAAUUAAGAAAACGAAUAAUAUAAACAACUUUUGACAACGGAUCUCUUGGCUCUC
Molecule: unclassified non-coding RNA, 257 nt
Filed under: fungal sp.
Lineage: Eukaryota; Fungi
Description: partial internal transcribed spacer region
Rfam family: Eukaryotic small subunit ribosomal RNA (bases 1-46)
Source: RNAcentral